CCCCCCCCCGUCGGGCUCGUCCUCGUCAACGAGCCGAACCGGGCGUCUCCUUCCCUGCUUCGGUCUACGGCGGAGGAACUUCUUCAGCGUCUCCUUCCCCGGUCCGGCUUCCUCUCCGUCGGUUCAGCGCCCCCUCUUCGCCCCAAGGUGAGGCUGCACGUCGCCCCUGUGCUUCUUCCUUCUUGGGUCGGCCGGAGUCGCCGUGAUGCUUCGGUUUUCUUCCCUGUCAGUAGGUCGGCAACAGUGCGUACGGUGCAGUAGCUGGGCGAGGUCUGUGCGUGCGUGUUCGUAGUAGCAGCCGGCAACAGUAGGUAGCCUAGCAGCGCAGCAGUUCCCGCAGGGUGGCGCGCCCGGAGCUCUCUGUCCCGUGCUCCCAGGCGGACGGUGCAGCUUAGCAGGAACACCGUUGCAGUUCAAGGCAGCCAAGGAGGCACCUCCUCCCGUGCUCAGGGCGAAAAUGGAUCCCCCGGGAGUCCCGCGGGCCCCGCCGACGGUUUCCCCUGCCNNNNNNNNNNNNNNNNNNNNNNNNNNNNNNNNNNNNNNNNNNNNNNNNNNNNNNNNNNNNNNNNNNNNNNNNNNNNNNNNNNNNNNNNNNNNNNNNNNNNAAAUCGGGAAAUUCGGAACGGAGGUGAUCUCGCGUUCCCACGUAGCCUCUUUAUCGGAAUGGUGUGACCACUACACUUUGAGAAACUUGACAGUCUUGUUACGGGUCUUGCGCUCAGUCGCCUCGAGAACCGCAACUGGAUGCUCACGAUAAGAAAGGUCAGGCUGAAGAUCGAUAUCUUGAAGAUGCACAGUGCGCUCGGGGUUCUUGAAACACCUCCGGAGCUGAGAAACAUGGAACACAUCAUGGACAUUUGCAAAGGUUGACGGAAGCUCGAGCUGGUAUGCAAGGUCGCCCCUCUUGCCAACCACUCUGAACGGACCAACGAAACGAGGCGCAAGCUUGCCUUUGAUGCCAAAGCGCUGCAUACCCUUGAUAGGCUACACCUUGAGAUAGACAAAAUCAUCAAGCUCAUACGACAUGUCACGGUGCUUGCUAUCGUAAUAGCUCUUCUGACGGGACUGAGCUGCUCUGAGGUUGUCGCGAAUGAUCCGGCACAUCUCCUCAGCUUCUUCUAUCAUAUCAUUGCCAAGGAUCUGACGCUCGCCUGUCUGGGACCAGUUGAGCGGAGUACGGCACUUCCUGCCAUAGAUAAUUUCAAAUGGAGCCUUGCCAGAACUAGCUUGAUAACUGUUGUUAUACGAGAACUCCGCGAAAGGCACACAAUCCUCCCACUUCAUGCCAAAAGAGAUAACAUGGGCUCUCCGCAUAUCCUCAAGAACUUGAUUCACUCUCUCCACUUGACCACUAGUCUGAGGAUGGAACGCUGUGCUGAAGCGGAUCUUCGUGCCCAUAGCCCCCCCCCCCCCCCCCCAGAACUUGGAAGUGAAGAUACUUCCGCGAUCUGACGAGAUCAUCAUAGGUACGCCGUGCAAAGAGACAAUCCUGGAGGUGUACAACUCUGCCAGCUGAGCUGCUGAAAUGGAUUCCUUGACUCGAAGGAAAUGCGCUACUUUACUCAAUUUGUCGAUGACGACGAAGAUAGCAUCAUUGCCCUUCUUGGACUUCGGAAACCCGGUGACGAAGUCCAUCUCAAUGUGAUUGAACUUCCACUCGGGAAUCGGCAAAGGCUGCAAGAGGCCCGCUGGUCUUUGAUGUUCUGCUUUCACCCUUCGACAUACAUCACACUCGUUUACGUAUUGUGCAAUUUCACGUUUCAUACGAGUCCACCAGAAAGUCUGCUUCAAGUCAUGGUACAUUUUGGAACUUCCAGGAUGAAUAGAGAGCAGAGAGUUAUGAGCUUCUUCCAUGAUCACCUUCCUGAGAUCACCUUUCGGGACGACAAGGCGGUCCUCGAAAAACAAUGUGUCCCUGGCAUCAACAGUGAAACACUUAUACUUGGGAAGACUCUUUCCCACACCAAUCUUGACCUUCUUCACCAUAGCAUCAAGUAGCUGAGCUGCUCUGACCUGAUCUUCCAAGGUAGGAGAGAUCUGAAGGUUUGCAAGAAAACCCUGAGGAACCAGCUGAAGAUUGAGCUUCCUGAAAGACUCAGAAAGACCCGGCUGGAGAGGUUGCAGAAUCAGACUGUUGCAAUAUGCCUUCCUGCUCAAUGCAUCUGCCACAACAUUUGCCUUGCCUGGCGUGUACUCAACACUCGGAUUAAAAUCCUGGAGCAUUUCCACCAAACGUGUUUGCCGAAGAUUCAAGUUAGGCUGAGUGAAGAUAUACUUGAGACUCUUGUGAUCGGUGAAAACUUCAACCUUAUGUUCCAACAAGAGAUGUCUCCAAGUCAUCAAGGCGUGCACAACAGCUGCUAGCUCGAGAUCGUGCACAGGAUAGUUCUUCUCCGGAGGCUUCAGCUGCCUCGAGGUAUAAGCAACCACCUUCCUAUCUUGCAUCAAGACUGCACCGAAACCCUGGAGAGAAGCAUCACAAAAGACCUGGUACGGCUNNNNNNNNNNNNNNNNNNNNNNNNNNNNNNNNNNNNNNNNNNNNNNNNNNNNNNNNNNNNNNNNNNNNNNNNNNNNNNNNNNNNNNNNNNNNNNNNNNNNUUUUUAGUUUCCCUUGCAUGCAUGCAAACCAUAAUGCUUCAUGUCAUGUCUUGUGUGCACAUAUCUUGCUUGGUGUGAUUGUGUGAUCUCGUGAUUUCAUGUGUUGAUAUUGCACAUGUGAAUUUUGUGGUGUGAAUUAGUGGAGUGUGGUGCUUGGCUUGUUUUUCAAACCCCUUGUUGGUUUCAAACCUUUCUCUCUUUAAUUCUCAAGUUCAAAACCUGUUUGCUCCUAUGCUGCUUUAUAAAUGUUACACCUUUAGCCCAUUUUAUUUGGAGUGUGGGCAUGUAGGAGAGGGGUUUUUAAAACCUCUUGUGCUAGAGGUUUUUCUUUAUUUCAGAUUUAAUUAAAUCUGUCUAGGAAUUAUUUGUUGGAAUUAUGCCCUAGAGACAAUAAUAAAUAUAGUUAUUAUUAUAAUUCCUGUAUCAAGAUAAUCGUUUAUUAUCCAUGCUAUAAUUUAUUGAAUGAAGACUCAGUUACAUGUGUGGAUACAUAGACAAAACACCGUCCCUAGCAAGCCUCUAGUUGGCUAGCCAGUUGAUCAAAGAUAGUCAGUGUCUUCUGAUUAUGAACAAGGUGUUGUUGCUUGAUAACUGGAUCACGUCAUUAGGAGAAUCACGUGAUGGACUAGACCCAAACUAAUAGACGUAGCAUGUUGAUCGUGUCAUUUUGUUGCUACUGUUUUCUGCGUGUCAAGUAUUUAUUCCUAUGACCAUGAGAUCAUAUAACUCACUGACACCGGAGGAAUGCUUUAUGUGUAUCAAACGUCGCAACGUAACUGGGUGACUAUAAGGUUGCUCUACAGGUAUCUCCGAAGGUGUUAGUUGAGUUAGUAUGGAUCAAGACUGGGAUUUGUCACUCCGUGUAAACGGAGAGGUAUCUCGGGGCCCACUCGGUAAUACAACAUCACACACAAGCCUUGCAAGCAAUGUAACUUAGUGUAAGUUGCGGGAUCUUGUAUUACGGAACGAGUAAAGAGACUUGCCCGUAAACGAGAUUGAAAUAGGUAUACGGAUACUCACGAUCGAAUCUCGGGCAAGUAACAUACCGAAGGACAAAGGGAAUGACAUACGGGAUUAUAUGAAUCCUUGGCACUGAGGUUCAAACGAUAAGAUCUUCGUAGAAUAUGUAGGAUCCAAUAUGGGCAUCCAGGUCCCGCUAUUGCAUAUUGAUCGAGGAGUCUCUCGGGUCAUGUCUACAUAGUUCUCGAACCCGCAGGGUGUGCACACUUAAGGUUCGACGUUGUUUUAUGCGUAUUUGAGUUAUAUGGUUGGUUACCGAAUGUUGUUCGGAGACCCGGAUGAGAUCACGGACGUCACGAGGGUUUCCGGAAUGGUCCGGAAACGAAGAUUGAUAUAUAGGAUGACCUCAUUUGAUUACCGGAAGGUUUUCGGAGUUACCGGGAAUGUACCGGGAAUGACGAAUGGGUUCCGGGAGUUCACUGGGGGGGGGGGGCAACCCACCCCGGGGAAGCCCAUAGGCCUUGAGGGUGGCACACCAGCCCUUAGUGGGCUGGUGGGACAGCCCAAAAGGGCUCUAUGCGCCAAGUAAAAGAAAAUCAAGAGGAAAGAAAAAAAAAGGAGGAGGUGGGAAGGAAGGGGGACUCCCUCCCACCAAACCAAGUCCAACUCAGUUUGGGGGGGGGAGUCCUCCCCCCUUGGACUCGGCCGACCCCCUUGGGGCUCCUUGAGCGCCAAGGCAAGGUCCCCUCCCUCCCACCUAUAUAUACGAAGGUCUUAGGGCUGAUUUGAGACGAUUUUUCCACGGCAGCCCGACCACAUACCUCCACGGUUUUUCCUCUAGAUCGCAUUUCUGCGGAGCUCGGGCGGAGCCCUGCUGAGACAAGGUCAUCACCAACCUCCGGAGCGCCGUCACGCUGCCGGAGAACUCUUCUACCUCUCCGUCUCUCUUGCUGGAUCAAGAAGGCCGAGAUCAUCGUCGAGCUGUACGUGUGCUGAACGCGGAGGUGCCGUCCGUUCGGUACUAGAUCGUGGGACUGAUCGCGGGAUUGUUCGCGGGGCGGAUCGAGGGACGUGAGGACGUUCCACUACAUCAACCGCGUUCUCUAACGCUUCUGCUGCACGAUCUACAGGGGUACGUAGAUCACUCAUCCACUCUCGUAGAUGGACAUCACAAUGACAGGUCUUCGUGCGCGUAGGAAAAUUUUUGUUUCCCAUGCGACGUUCCCCAACAGUGGCAUCAUGAGCUAGGUUCAUGCGUAGAUGUCUUCUCGAGUAGAACACAAAAGUUUUUGUGGGCGGUGAUGUGCGUUUUGCUGCCCUCCUUAGUCUUUUCUUGAUUCCGCGGUAUUGUUGGAUUGAAGCGGCUUGGACCGACAUUACUCGUACGCUUACGAGAGACUGGUUUCAUCGUUACGAGUAACUCCGUUGCUCAAAGAUGACUGGCAAGUGUUGGUUUCUCCAAAUUUAGUUGAAUCGGAUUUGACCGAGGAGGUCCUUGGAUGAGGUUAAAUAGCAACUCAUAUAUCUCCGUUGUGGUGUUUGCGUAAGUAAGAUGCGAUCCUACUAGAUACCCAUGGUCACCACGUAAAACAUGCAACAACAAAAUUAGAGGACGUCUAACUUNNNNNNNNNNNNNNNNNNNNNNNNNNNNNNNNNNNNNNNNNNNNNNNNNNNNNNNNNNNNNNNNNNNNNNNNNNNNNNNNNNNNNNNNNNNNNNNNNNNNAUUUUUGUUUCUUUUCCUUUUAUUCCACUAUUCCAAGGAAUAUUUUUUAGUCUUGAUUAUCUUUAUCUUUUCUUAUAUUAUUUUCCUAGUUGUGCUAAGUCAUGUGAAGGUUUUCUAUUUCAAAGACAGAAUAAUUUCGGACCUCAUUGAAAUAUGUGGAAAAAUUGGAAUAUUUGCAUAUUUCAAAAAUUAUUUCAGAUUUUCAGAUUUAAAAUUCCACCUAGUUUCAAUGAAUUCUAACAUAUUUUAAUUUAUGUUGAAAUAUGUCUGAAUCGAAAUUUCGGGAUUUCAAAUACUUCGGACCCCAUUAAAUUUUAUUUUUUUAGGGGAAAAGGAAAAAGACCGGACCCCAUUAAAAUAUGUGAAAUUUCUGAAUUUUUACUGGAAUUUCGUUGAACUUUUUAACCCUGAUGGCAUGCACUAGAAAAAGAAGAGAGGGUCCUAUGUCAAGCAGCCAGCGUACCAAUGUCAAAAUAUGUGAAAUUUCUGAAAUUUUACUGAAAUUCAGUUGAACUUUUUAACCUGAUGGGAUGCACCAGAAAAAAGAAUAGGCGAGGGUCCUAUGCCAAACAGCGAGCGUACCAAUGACAUGUCCGGGCCACUGCUCUCAUCUUUCCAUCCCUUCUCUGCCGGAGUCUCCUCUCCUGCCACAUAGCGAGGGGACACGCCACACACAUCUCGGCGACUUGUCCCUCCUCUCGGUUCAUCGGUGGAGUGCGAGAAAAGCCACGGCACCGCCCCAACCAGCGUUUUUUACUGCACCGAAAAGCCCGAGGAAUUUUGACCACUGUUGGGCAGUAUACACACACACAACACAGCGCGCCCUUUUAGCAGCAGCACCACAGUCCACACUCCACAGCGUCCAACAUCGACAAAAGCCACUCUCUUUCGCCGGGCGGGCCCUCCCUGCGACGCCUGUCUCCACCCACGACUUGACCCCAGAUCCAGCACAGUGGCCAACUCUGAACUUCAUUGUCAUUGAUUCGCCCGCUGCCAUGGAAGAAGCAGAGCACUACUAGUACUACUGUAGGAACAUUAACCCUAGGCGGUGGGUCAUGGAGCAGGACAGGUUGAUGGGCGGGCGAGAGGACGGUGGAGGAGGAGGAGGAGGNNNNNNNNNNNNGGCGCCGCCGACGCUCUGAACCCGAAUUACUCCUCCGAUAAAAGGGAGGAGCUGGAAUCGGCGGCAUGAUGAGAUCGCCAAUCGCAAAGGCUGCCACCGCGCAGCGAUCCAAGCAUACGCCAUGUCCCUGCCCUGUCCCCCACCCCCUAAGCUACCGCCAGGCGCCAAAACAGCCGUCGUCGGCGGCGCGCGCUGACGCCAUCCACGAUCCGCGUGUCGGCGUCCGGCCCGAUCCAGCACCACGACGGGCUCUCCUCGGUUGGUUGAACACACACACACGGUACGGUAUGUCAAUAAGAGCAACUCCACCAGACGCGUUAUCUAAUCAUAAAUCGUGUUUUUACGCGCGUACAAAAGCCGCUUCAGCAGAGACGUUGAAGUCGCACGCGCUAGAUAGUCGGUUGCGUGCGCGGAGCAAAACGUCAUCACGUGCUGUUGCGACAUCCCGAUAACCCCUUCCCCACCGUCGCGUGGCACGGCAACGGUCGACGCGGGCGGCAUGAGUUUUGGUCUUUCAUGGGAGGCAUGAAAACUUCUCCGUAUAACAUGGGUGCACGCAUGGCUUUCGGGUGUAGGGAGGGGUGAAGGGGAUGGCUUUCGGGUGUAGGGAGGGGUGUAGUUUUGGUCUCAUGGCCACAUGACUAACAACGAGGACAACGGAACGUCUUCAUCCUUGGACGAAGACUCGAAUGAAGAAGAAGAGAAGAAAGAAGAUGAGGCAUGAUUGUUCAUAUGCCAUUUGUUUGUGGGUGAGCUUUAUACUCGUCAUGAUCUUCGCAAGAUGAUUUUAAACUAUAUCAUGCAAUUCAACUAUGCUACGUUGUUCGAAUGCAAAAAAUAAAUAUACUUUUAAAAUAUUAUAUAAUGUGGUUGGCUGCCCGCGCGUUUCACCAUACAGAUGUCUGCGCGCGUUUCAUUUUGCAACGUCUGCUGAAGUGGCAGGGUCGCGUCCCAUUUUACGGCUUCUGUUGAAGCGGGCACCUUGCCGCGUGUAAAAAAAAUGCAUUUCACUGCUGUGAUUUUUUUUAACGCGCUUGUUGGAGUGCUGCUACCNNNNNNNNNNNNNNNNNNNNNNNNNNNNNNNNNNNNNNNNNNNNNNNNNNNNNNNNNNNNNNNNNNNNNNNNNNNNNNNNNNNNNNNNNNNNNNNNNNNNCAGAACAAUCAAUCUUGUCCCCUCUGCUUAUUGUAAUAAUUCAAUUUUCCUGCUGCAAGCUGAAUUCACUGCACUUCCAAGACUCUCAAUUUUUUCAUAUUCUACUUUGAACAUGACGACAACUGUACCAUCUUUGCCAGUGUCAUAGUCCUGUUUAAUAUCUUCGGCAUGGAAAUGUUGCAGCUGUUCAAAGAUUCAAACAUUCAUGCUUAGGCUUCAGCAAAUCAUAAACACUCACCAAAAUAACUAUGUUAAAAGUACAUGAAUAACCUCCAGAAGACACACAAGUAUUGCUUGGAAUCAAUUACCAGUUACAUUAGGCUAUAAAAUCAACAUAAAAAUUCGAUGUACUCAAACUAGAUAAAGAAUGUUCCGUUUUUUCAACAAAAUUGGAUCUAUUGAGCAGACAUCAUACAUGCAACAUGAUAUACCCCACAAAUGUUUAUAAUAGCAACUCUAUAUUUGUUCUUUAAUUAAUCGUCUGAAAAUAAGUAUUGGUGUCUCCAGUACAAAUAUUUUGUUUAUAUGCUCACUAUACCUGGUUAUAGACUGUACCCAAGAGAUCAAAUGGUACUUCCAUUCCCACACGAGCCUGAAAUGAAAAUACCCACCAAGUCAGAAUUACACACAACUUCCUGCAUCUUCAAACUAUUGCAUGAAUGAGGCAAGAGCAGAUGGAACAUAAUUGAGCUUGAUCACCUUGGGUUUCACAAGACAAGUAGGAGCAUCUUUAAGGCACUCAGAAGCAACCCCACCAUAAGCUCUCACCAGCCCGCCGGUUCCAAGUUUUAUGCCUCCAAAAUAUCUUUACAAUGUUUAAAGGAGAAAAUUAGUGCAAGCUGUAAAGAGGUAAUCACAUUAACCAUGUGUCCCACAAAAAGUAGUGAAAUGUAAGUUCAACACCACUUAUCUAUAGUUUCAUUUCAACAAUUCGAUUAACUUAUACAAAAUUAAAUACCAACAAAUUGGUAAAAUUAUUGGUCAUGACAAAAAUUCAUGAAAAUGAAGGGCAUUAUCUGACAAAAUGGAUACCUGAUUACAACCACCAUGACCAUAUCUAUGCCAGAUGAAAUGAUAGCAGAGUAUAUUGGCUUUCCAGCUGUGCUUGAAGGUUCGCCGUCAUCGUUAUAACGGAAUUGCUCUCCCACCUAAAUACACGUGAAUGCAAAGACAAACUCACCAUUAACAAUCAUAGACAUGGCAUAUGACUAUAUGAGUAGCAGGCUUUAUAUAAAACCACGAACCUUGUACGCCCAGCAAUUAUGGGUGGCACGAGGAUCCUUGACCUACAACACAAAACCGUGUAGAUCUAGUCAACAGAGUACACAGAAGUUCUGGUUUCCGGACGGACAAGUCAUAAGUUUGCUAGUAUGGUCGAAAUGCAAAUACUAACACGGAUGUGUAUACAACUGCAAGGCUAGCCCGCAGAGUGCUUAUAAAUCCGAGCCAAAAAUUAUACAAUUGGAAGCAAUAGAUCGUGAGCGAAACCCUUGAGCAAUGCGUCAGCAUGACAAGGAUAACCAGGCAAUCAGGACUACACGAGCCUGCCCGCUGCAACUGGAGAUUAGGGGCGGGUCAAAGACCUCGCUGGAAAACGAAUCGAGUGGGAACGAGGAGGCGCACCUCGUUGAGGAAGGACAUGGCGGAGCGCUCGNNNNNNNNNNNNNNNNNNNNNNNNNNNNNNNNNNNNNNNNNNNNNNNNNNNNNNNNNNNNNNNNNCUAAUAUAUUCUAAAAAUAUAUUUUUACAAAUUAAAUAUCAAAAUAUCAUUACGAAUUAUCGAGACAAACGUAUUUAACCAAUGGUAGCCAUGCAUUUAAAAUUGUUUAAUGCAUAUCUAAAAAGGGUUAAUGUGUAUUAAAAAAAACUUCAUCGUCUAUUUGAAAAUUAUUUAGUUAUUUAAAUAAUGUUCAUUGUGUAUUUUCAUAAUAUACAUCAUAUAGUUUUUAAAUAUUAUGUAUAUCAUGUAUUAGGAAGAAAAAGAACAGGAAGAAAGUCGACUAAAAAAUAAAAAUAAAAUUCUAAAUGAAAUUUGCAAAAAAAACUCAAACCCCGAGAAGCGCUCGGUAACGGAAACUCCAUGAAGUUCGUGGACAUUUCAACCUUUAUUCUCUAGUUUAGUUGGUUUGGAGGAUUACUUGAUUGGAUACCCAAUCUUUAUAAAUUUUUAAAGUCACUGCUUCUGCUUGUGUCAUCUUAUUGGCCUGAAGCGGCCUAAGUAAGGCAUGCGUCGUUGGAUCGAAGAUCAACGGCGAGAACUCAAAAAGUGAAUUGAAGCGGUACUUAGCUGAAGAAAUGAGACACUUCAACAGAUUCAGGCCCAGCUCCUGACAGGUAGGCAUUGGGGUUAGGUUUUGUACCGUAUGUGACCAAAGGAGAAAACAAGCACGAUCGAUGCCAAAAGCAAACCCCCAAGGUUAUAUUGUACAGUGAGUAAUGCUGGCGAAAAGAAGCUGUUAUGCAUAAAAUAACUGUAAAUUACAAAAUAAACUCAUAGCCUGAACAUUCAUUCUACCAAUUUGUGGUUACUGACUGAGUGUGAGAAUAAUCUUUUUUCGAUUUGUUCACAUGUCGAUCAUGCACCCUUUCAGCUCAAAUUAACGAACUAACCAGCCGACCUGACUAGUGGCGCCACAUGGACAGUCGACAAGAGACCGCCACCGACGGCACCAAAACGCAAGCGGACCGCCGAGACAAGAACUGCACGGCGGACCUGCGGUUCACGCUGCUGCCGCUUGAGCCAUCUUGGUGUCCUACGCGGAUCGGCCCGCACCACUUGAUUGCAAUAGAGAGCCAACAAGUAUGGGAUACUAGGAGUAUAUAUAUGGGUGUUUUAGAGAAAAAUACACUUUGGUUCUUGGUUGUAUAUGCAUCCUGAAGAUUUAUAUUUAAUAAUUAAUUNNNNNNNNNNNNNNNNNNNNNNNNNNNNNNNNNGUUUUAAAGUAUUUUUAGAUUAAACUUGAUUUUCUUUUGAGCUAGUAUAUAAAUUUUCACAAAAAAAACCAACAUUGACUUCUGGGUAAAAAAGACAAUUUAUUUGCUAUUAUAGAUCACUAUUCACAUUAUUUUAAUUAAAAAUUAUUAUUUUAUGAAACAAAGUCAAAGUGUAAUUUUAUUUUUGUGAAAUUUUAGACAAAUAUAGGCAGGAUAUGAAGGCUUGCGGACGCGCCAAUUCGCCAUGUAGGACGCGACCCCACCCGCAUUACCUUUUUUUUUUCUUUAUUCAUUAUUUUCUUUCUCUUUUUUCUUCUCCACAAUCACGUGCAAAUGAUCAGACAUAUUUGUCGGAUGUCGUCUUCCUGUCUGAGACGCAUCUGAACACGGUUAAGGCAAAAAAACUCCGAAAAAAGUUGAAGAUGGACAGUAUGGAGGUUCAUGGAAGCAUCGGGGCGAGUGGUCGCUUAUUGUUGUAUUGGCACACACCGAUGGUAAUACAACGGAGAGACUAAGACAAGAACUUUAUAGAUGUUACUGUUGGGGACGACAUGGAUGAGGCCUGAAGGUUUACAGGGUUCUAUGGUGAAUCGAAAUGGGAGGACAAGCACUGCUCAUGCUCUUGUUUGCGUGAUCUGCAUCAGUGGAUAAAUCUCCCUUGGAUGGUAGUGAUACGUCUCUAACGGAUCUAUAAUUUUUUAUGGUUCCAUGCUAUUAUCUUGUCAACUUUGGAUAUUUUGUAUGCAUUUUAUAUCUUUUUUGGGACUAAUCUAUUAACUCAGUGCCAAGUGCCAGUUCCUGUUUUUUUCGUGUUUUUGACCUUUUUGAGACAAGAAUAUUAAACGGAGUCCAAACGGAAUAAAACCUCCGGAAUUUUUUUCGGAACAGAAGAUACGCAGGGAGCUUGAGAACCAAGGCAAAGGCUCCCGGGGGAGGCCACAAGCCCCCUAGCCGCGGCCGGGGGGGGGGGGGCGCCUAGCAGGCUGGUGGGCCCCCCGUGGCUCCUUUACCCUACUUCUUCCGCCUAUAAAUCCUUGAAAAUUCUGAAACCACGGAGGGGAGCCACAAAAAUACUUUUCCGCCGCCGCAAGCUUCUGUCUUCGCAAGAUCCCAUCUGGGCACGUUUUGCUGCCCUGCCGGAGGGGGGAUUCAGACACGAAGGGCUUCUUCAUCAACACCAUUGCCUCUCCGAUGAUGCGUGAGUAGUUCACCACAGACCUUCGGGUCCAUAGCUAGUAGCUAGAUGGCUUCUUCUCUCUCUUGGAUCUUCAAUACAAAGUUCUCCAUGAUCUUCAUGGAGAUCUAUCCGAUGUAAUCUUCUUUUACGGUGUGUUUGUCGAGAUCCGAUGAAUUGUGGAUUUAUGGUCAGAUUAUCUAUGAAUCUUAUUUGAGUUUCCUCUGAUCUCUUAUAUGCAUGAUUUCAUAUCCUUGUAAUUCUCUUCGAGUUGUGGGUUUCGUUUGGCCAACUUGAUCUAUAAUUCUUGCAAUGGGAGAAGUGCUUGGUUUUGGGUUCAUACCGUGCGGUGACCUCACUCAGUGACAGAAGGGGUAGCAAGGCACGCAUCGUGUUGUUGCCAUCAAGGGUAAAAAGAUGGGGUUUAUAUCUAUUGCAUGAAUUGAUCCCUCUACAUCAUGUCAUCUUGCUUAAGGCGUUACUCUGUUUGUUAUGAACUCAAUACACUAGAUGCAUGCUGGAUAGCGGUCGAUGUGUGGAGUAAUAGUAGUAGAUGCAGAAAGUAUCGGUCUACUUGUCUCGGACGUGAUGCCUAUAUGUAUGAUCAUUGCCUUAGAUAUCGUCAUGACUUUGCGCACGAUCCAUGAGCGAUAUCAAUGCAGUGACAGUCCUUACUAUUGAGUCGUGUGCUGGUAAGAUGACAACGCUCUAAAAGGUUUGUUUAAGAAAGCAAUCAUAUCCCGUCCCGUUCUAUCAAUUGCUCGAUAGUAAUUCGUUCACCCACCGUAAUAUUUGCUAUCAUGAGAGAAGCCUCUAGUGAACACUAUGGUCCUCGGGUCUACUUCACAUCAUAUUUCAGCUCUACACUCUUACUUUGUUGCACUUUCCACCUUCAAAUCUCACCUUGCAAUAAAUUGUGAAGGGAUUUACAACCCCUUUGUAGCGUUGGGUGCAAGUUUGCUGUUUUUGCGCAGGUACUUUGGAGACUUGCCUUGAUACUCCUACUGGAUUGAUACCUUGGUUCUCAAACUGAGGGAAAUACUUAUUGCUAUUGUGUUGCAUCACCCUUUCCUUUUCAAGGGAAAAACCAACGCAAGCUCAAGAGGUGGCAAGAAGAAUUUCUGGCGCCCUUGCCGGGGAGUAUCAAGUCAAGAAUAGUCUUCCUUCAACGUGUCAAUUUCUGGCACCGGGGACUGUUCGAAGUUAAGCUCAUCCAAGUAACUGUCGCAAACUCAUCUCUUGCAUUUUUUUUGCCUCUCGUUUUCCUCUCUCCACUUCUGAAAAACAAAAAUUUACAAAAAUAUUUGCCUUUUUCGUUUGCCCUUUUCUUUCGCUUGCUUUCUGCUUGCCUGUGUGGAAUAGUCUACCUGUCCUCAUGGCUAGACCUACCGCUUCGAACGAUACUCCCGAGGGCGAAGUUCUCAAUUUCAAACAAAAUGAGGGAGAAAACUUAAAGGAUGCUUGGUAUAGGAUUUGCAAUGCUCAGAGUAGAUCUACUCGUAAGCAAUCUACUACCGUCCUACUUCGCAACUUUUAUGUGGGUAUUUCCCCUUGGAAUAGGUAUGUUCUUGACACCAUCGUAGGCGGAAAUUUCUUGGGUAGCCAUACCGUUGAUUCUUACGGUGCUUUAAUAAAUUUGGUAGGCUCACCCCCACUCAUGGUUAAUGGAACUACCUUAACUUUGGAUCAUGUGAUGCGUAGGCUGGAUAUCAUUGAAAAUAAAGUUGCUACGAUUGAACUCAUUGAAAAUUUGGAUAAAAAGAUCCACAAUCAAAUCACUCAGUAUGGAUCCAAGGUGGGAAUGACUUUGAAAAAUUUAAAAGAGAGGGAACCCACAGUUAACGAAAAACUAGGUCAUGAUUCCGCUAGGAUUGGCAAACUAGAGGAUAUUAUAACCAACUUGGGUUCCGCUUUUGCUGCUCUGCAGAACACUCCAAAUUUUGCCCACAAUAAGGCCACAAAGUCUGUUUUUGUUCCUAAAAAUAAUGGUGAACCAUCUAGUAAGAGAGAUGAAGAUCUUAAGAUGAUGAGUGUUCACCCUACUUAUGGUUUGAGCACCAAAGACGACGAUACGUGAUUAUAUCGCCUUAUGCCUAGCUAAGGGCGUUAAACAAUAGCGCUUGUUGGAAGGCAACCCAACGAAUUUAUCUUUGCUUUUUUGCUUUCUGUUUUGUUGCGUCCACACCAUCAUAAUUAUGUUAUGAUUGUUUUUUGUGUUUGAGCCAAGUAAAACCUUUAUGACUAAGUUUUGGUGAUGGUUGUUUGAUCGUGCUGAAAAAGACAGAAACGUUUUGCUCACGAAAUUAUUUUUCAUUCUUAUCCAGAAAGAGCUUUUGAGUUGAUUCUUUUUGCUGAUGGUUGAUAUGCCAAUUUCCCAAAUUGUUGUAAGUUUUCAGAAUUUUUGAGAUACCAUAAGUAUACGAAGUAUACAGAUUGCUACAAACUGGUCUGUUUUUGACAGAUUCUGUUUUUGUUGUGUUGAUUGCUUAUUUUGAUGAAAUUAUGGAUAGUAUCGGGGGUACUAGCCAUGGAAAAGUGAGAAUACAAUAAUAAAACACCAAUAUAAAUAGAAAUCAAGUUUGCUACAGUACCUAAAGAGUUGGUAGCUUGUUUUCUUGUGCUAAUGAUAUCACGAGUUUCUGUUUAAGUUUUGUGUUGUGAAGUUUUCAAGUUUUGGGUGGUGUUCUCAUGGACAAUGGGAUGAAGAGUGGAAAGAGCUCAAGCUUGGGGAUGCCCAAGGUAUCCCAAGACAAAUUCAAGGACACCAAAAAGCCUAAGCUUGGGGAUGCCCCGGGAAGGCAUCCCCUCUUUCGUCUUCAAUCCAUCGGUAACGUUACUUGAAGCUAUAUUUUUAUUCACCACAUGAUAUGUGUUUUGCUUGGAGCGUCGUGUAUUAUAGGAGUCUUUUCUUUUUGUUUUGUCACAAGCAUCCUUGCUGCACACCUUUUGAGAUAGACAUGCACUCAUCGUGAAUUUUCUAGAAUACUCAUUGAGCUUCGCUUAUAUCUUUUGAGUUAGGCAAUUUAGCUCGCAUGUGCUUCACUUAUAUCUUUUGAGCUAGAUAACUUUGCUCUAAAUGCUUCACUUAGAUCUUUUUUAGAGCACAACGGUGUCAUAUUUUGGAGAAAUAAGAACUCUCGAUCUUCACUUAUAUAUUUUUGAGAGUGCUCUCUAUGAGAAACUUGGUAAUUGGCUUGUGCUAUGAAAGUAGUCCUAAAGAUGAUAGGCAUUCAAAGAUGAUAUAAUAAAAACUUCCAUAUUUAUGUGCAUUGAUUAGUAAAGAGAAGUUUGAUUCCUCUCAAUUAGUUUUGAGACAUGGAUUUGGUGAUAUUAGAGUUAUGUUAGUAGGGUGUUGUGAAUCUAGAAAUACUUGUGUUGAAGUUAGUGAUUCCUGUAACAUGCACAUAUGAUGAACCGCUAUGUUAGGAAGUCGGAGCAUAAUUGAUUUAUUGAUUGUCAUCCUUUGUGUUCCAGUUGGGAUCGCGCGAUGGUUAAUACCUACCAACCCUUCCCCUAGGAGUAUGUGUUUAGCACUUUGUUUUGAUUACUAAUUAAAACUUUCGCAAUAAGUAUAUGAGUUCUUCAUGACUAAUGUGAGUCCAUGGUAUAGAUGCACUUUCACCUUCCACCAUUGCUAGCCUCUCUAGUGCCGCGCAACUUUUACCGGUGCACAAACCCACCAUAUACCUUCCUCAAAACAGUCACCAUACCUACCUACUAUGGCGUUUUCAUAGCCAUUCCGAGAUAUAUUGCCAUGCAACUCCCACCGUUCCGUCUCAUGACUUGUGCCGUCACUUUCAUAUUUCCAUUGCAUGAUCGUAAGAUAGAUAGCGAGAUGUUUCAACGUCAUACGCUAAGCUAGAUCGUUGCACAUCCCGGUACACUGCCGGAGGCAUUUCCUAUAGAGUCAUCAUUGCUCUAAGCAGUGAGCUCCGAGUAAAUAAAAGUGUGAUGAUCAUCAUUAUUAGAGCAUUGUCCCAUGUGAGGAAAUAAAAAAAAUGGAAAGAGACCAAAGAUCCCAAACAAAAAAAGAGAGAAAAAGAGAGAAGGGACAAUGCUACUAUCUUUUUCCACACUUGUGCUUCAACAAUAAGCACCAUGUUCUUCAUGAUAGAGAGUCUCUUGUUUUGACACUUCCUUAUGCUAGUGGGAAUUAUCAUUAUAUAACCUGGCUUGUAUAUUCCAAUGAUGGGCUUCCUCAAAAUUGCCCUACGUCUACGUGAGCAAGCAAGUUGGGUGCACACCCACUAGUUUUCCUUUUGAGCUUUCACACACUUAUAGCUCUACGUGCAUCCGUUGCAUGGUAAUCCCUACUCAUUCACAUUUAUAUCUAUUGAUGGGCAUCUCCAUAGCCCUUUGAUACGCCGAGUCCAUGUGACCAUCUCCUCCUUUUUGCCUCACAACCUCCACCACACUCUAUUCCACCUAUAGUGCUAUAUCCAUGGCUCAUGCUCAUACAUUGCGUGGGAGUUGAAAAAGGUUUGAGAAAGUAAGAGUGCGAAAACAAUUACUUGGCCAAUACCGGGGUUGUGCAUGAUUUAAAUUCGUUGUGUGGGGAUGAUGGAGCAUAGCCAGACUAUAUGAUUUUGGAGGGAUAACUUUAUUUGGCCUUGUUUUUUCAAAAGUUCAUGAUUACCAUGCUAGUUUGCUUGAAGUAUUAUUGUUUUCAUGUCAAUAGCAAACUAUUGUUUUGAAUCUUACGGAUCUGAGCAUUCAUGUCACAUGAAAGAAGUUGCAAAGGACAAAUAUGGUAGGUACCAUUCCACAUCAAAAUUUCAGUCUUUAUCACUUCCCUACUCGAGGACGAGGAGGAUUUAAGCUUGGGGAUGCUUGAUACGUCUCCAACGUAUCUAUAAUUUUUUAUGGUUCCAUGCUAUUAUCUUGUCAACUUUGGAUGUUUUGUAUGCAUUUUAUAUCUUUUUUGGGACUAAUCUAUUAACUCAGUGCCAAGUGCCAGUUCCUGUUUUUUCCGUGUUUUUGACCUUUUUAAGAGGAGAAUAUUAAACGGAGUCCAAACGGAAUAAAACCUUCGGAAAGAUUUUUUCCGGAACACAAGAUACGCAGGGAGCUUGAGAACCAAGGCAAAGGCUCCCGGGGGAGGCCACAAGCCCCCUAGCCGCGGCCUGGGGGGCGCCAAGCAGGCUUGUGGGCCCCCCGUGGCUCCUUUGCCCUACUUCUUCCGCCUAUAAAUCCGCGAAAAUUCUGAAACCACGGAGGGGAGCCACGAAUAUACUUUUCCGCCGCCGCAAGGUUCUGUCUCCGCAAGAUCCCAUCUAGGCACGUUCUGGUGCCUUGCCGGAGGGGGGAUUCGGACACGGAGGGCUUCUUCAUCAACACCAUUGCCUCUCCGAUGAUGCAUGAGUAGUUCACCACAGACCUUCGGGUCCAUAGCUAGUAGCUAGAUGGCUUCUUCUCUCUCUUGGAUCUUCAAUACAAAGUUCUCCAUGAUCUUCAUGGAGAUCUAUCGGAUGUAAUCUUCUUUUGCGGUGUGUUUGUCGAGAUCCGAUGAAUUGUGGAUUUAUGAUCAGAUUAUGUAUGAAUCUUAUUUGGGUUUCCUCUCAUCUCUUAUAUGCAUGAUUUCAUAUCCUUGUAAUUCUCUUCGAGUUGUGGGUUUCGUUUGGCCAACUGGAUCUAUAAUUCUUGCAAUGGGAGAAGUGCUUGGUUUUGGGUUCAUACCGUGCGGUGACCUCACAGAGUGAUAGAAGAGGUAGUGCGGCACGCAUCGUGUUGUUGCCAUCAAGGGUAAAAAGAUGGGGUUUAUAUCUAUUGCAUGAAUUUAUCCCUCUACAUCAUGUCAUCUUGCUUAAGGCGUUACUCUGUUGAUUAUGAACUCAAUACACUAGAUGCAUGCUGGAUAGCAGUCGAUGUGUGGAGUAAUAGUAGUAGAUGCAGAAAGUAUCGGUCUACUUGUCUCGGACGUGAUGCCUAUAUGUAUGAUCAUUGCCUUAGAUAUCGUCAUGACUUUGCGCGGUUCUAUCAAUUGCUCGACAGUAAUUCGUUCACCCACCGUAAUAUUUGCUAUCAUGAGAGAAGCCUCUAGUGAACAUAUGGCCCUCGGGUCUACUUCACAUCAUAUUUCAGCUCUACACUCUUACUUUGUUGCACUUUCCACCUUCAUAUCUCACCUUGCAAUCAAUCGUGAAGGGAUUGACAACCCCUUUGUAGCGUUGGGUGCAUGUUUUCUGUUUUUGCGCAGGUACUUUAGAGACUUGCCUUGAUACACCUACUGGAUUGAUACCUUGGUUCUCAAACUGAGGAAAAUACUUACUGCUACUGUGCUGCAUCAUCCUUUUCUCUUCAAGGGAAAAACCAACGCAAGCUCAAGAGGUAGCAGGUAGCGGGGGACUUUAAUGAGAUUUUAUACUCUCAUGAGAAGGAGGGUGGUGCAGCUAGACUGAUGCAAAUGAUGCAAAACUUCAAGGAUACUCUUGUUGAUUGUGAGUUCGAAGAUAUGUGUGUAGUGAAGAUCUAUAUACUUGGAGAAGAAGGAGGCUAAGAGAGCGCCUGGAUAGAGUGGUUUGUAAUUGUCAAUUCCAUGGGCUAUUCUCUAACGUGAGAGUCACUAACACUACACAUACAAAGUCUGAUCAUUGAUCGAUUUUCAUGGAUACGGAGGGAGAUACCAAGGGGGUCAUCAACAAACCCACUAUAGAUGCUUCGAGUCCAGGUGACUUCAAAAGGAGAAUGUAAUGCAAAUUGUGACUGAGGCUUGGGAGAUUAUACUGGGCCUUGUGGUGCUGUCAUGCGUGGUCAUCGCCGAUCUAUAAUGUCGGCAUACACGGCAAGACUGGAACAUGUCACAGAUGUCUUCUCGGCAGAAGCGGCGGCUCUGCUUGAAGGUCUGAAGCUAGCAAGAGAUACAGGAUGCCAAAACUUGGUGGUGAGAUCAGACAAUAUUACUGUGGUGGAUGCAAUCAGGCGGAAUGAAGGAUAUUCCAUGGUAGCAACGCCAAUCCUUGAUGAAUGUCAUAGUUUCCUAGAAGAUUUCAGGAAGUUUACUGUUGAGCGUUGUAUUAAGGAGUCAAAUUCUGUAGCUCAUGAGCUGGCUAGAUGGGGUCAUGCUAAUAGUCCAUAUAGAUGGGUUGGGUUGAUGCUCCGCCUGAUUUUAUUGUAAUACAAUUGGCUGACGAUGUAUCUAUCCUUUGAUUAAUAAAGUAAGUUUUCAUGUAAAAAAACAAGUAAGUUCUAUUUGACUAGAAUAAGAGGUCAUGCGAGUUAGCUCAUAUAUAACCGUAAGGGUUUUGAGUGAUUUUUUGGCCAAUGAAAAUAAAAAUACCAUAUUCACUUUCGAGAAAGGCUUGACCUACAUCACUAUAAUGGCGACGAAAAAGAGUUUCUCCCGCUUUGUAUUACAAAGCAAUCAACCAUUACAUCCGACGAUAGGUGUUGGGGUAGAAACAACACAGUCACGCCCAAAAGAAAUGAAAAGGAAAAUACAAAAGAAACAAAUGCCGACACCGGCAGAUCAACAAAAAACGCAAAAGACUCGCGAUCGCUGCGCCCACCAAGAGUCUCCCACCAUGCUCCAGGUCUCCAAAGCAUCGGUACCCAUCAACACCUCCAAGAAGGAAUGCGACGAUGACGACGUUGUUGUCAAGGGUUUCCCCCGGUACGCGGGGAGGCACGAGGAAGGGUAGCCCCGACGUCCUCCAAGAAGGUUCGACGACACCCAUAGGCGUCACCGCAUCAGUGUCGGCCGGGCCGACAGGGGUUUUCCCGAUCCCAACCCGCACCUCUGACGCUCCGAAGCCUGCCACCAAACCGACCCACACCCUGCACCAACACGGUCUUGAGGCCCCUGUGCCAUCUCACCACGGCACCGUAAGGAGAGACCUGCACGGCGAUGAAAAUGAGCUGGGACUAGGAGCAGCAGCACCGUCGGCACGCGGGAGGGCUCAACCUCCACCGUCAAUGACGGUAGUCGAUCGGACGAAAUAGCAGGAGCAUACCAUGCCCGUGGGCCCAUUGGCUCAGCCGGGACCACCCCCUUUAAAGCUCCCGCCAUCGCGCUGCAACAGGCACGCCGUCGGCGACACCGCCCCCCGUCCAAGCUGCUCCUCCUCACCACCACGCAGAAGACAACGUAGCCACGCCGGGUGCCGACCUGCUAGGAUCCAUAUGGAGCCCGCGGGGCCAGAUCUGGGUCGAGGGGCGUCGUCGGCCACCCCGCACCACGACGCCGCUCUGUCACCAAGGAACGUCGCCGCCACCUCACCCGCCGCCGGGUCACUGGACCGCAGCCAGGCUGAGCUACACCGCCACCAUCCCCCGUCCCGGGAAGUGGGAACACACGCGUAAGGAAAGGACGACCUACAGCCGCCGACACCACCCGGGCCUGUGCUGGGGGCACCCACCGGCGGCGACUAGACGAAGGAUGAGGACGCCCGCGGGGAGGAACUCUAGCGUCGCCCCGGCCACCUCCCGGGGAGGCGACACGAGGGCGGAUCCGGGACAGGGGGAGGAGUGGGCAUUAAGUCACAUCACUAUAAUCAAAGGCUCAAGUUAAAAGGAUAUAAUUUAUGUAACCAAAUUACGGCGUGUGUUCUAAACAUGUAUAAGCUUGAUAAAAUUAAAUUAUGGAACAAUAGUUGCAUCAAUAUAGUGAAAUUCUCAACAACAACGAAAUAUCAAUAUAUUGCAAAGCAUAGGUCGUAUAUGUUCCGCUACGUAAAUGUAUGCUAGCUGCUAUGUCGACCAAAAUCAAGCGAGUGCUAGCAUUGGUGCAAACUCGGCUCAUUUUGAACCUGAGCUACAAAUUAAACAGACUAGCGUGUUGUACUAAUUUGUUUUGGAGUCAAUCUCCGGUGUAGCUAGCUAGAAGACGAGUCGCUGUGAGUGGCUUCGACUCGAGCUCUUUUGGCAGCCCUACCACUACCACUAGCGAUGGCAACGUGGUUUACGAUGUCCGCUACAACCGAAGGGCAGCUGGAUACGAGUUGCUUGAAUCCAUCGGUCUCCUGGAUGUCACCGAGCACACCAUGAGAGGACAGGAACCCAAGGCAUGCUUUCUUGAGCUGCACGCACUGGUGCUGCUCCGCUAGGGCAAGCGUGGUGGCAACUGUGUGCACGUCGAUGCUCUGGCAUAGCUUCUGCUCACACAUCGCCUUGAGCCUAUCCAGCCGAUACCGAUCGGCGGCAACGAACAAGUGUUGCAACGGCACAUUCUUGUCCACGCCACAGUACUGAUAUGGGAAGGCAUCCGUGUAGAUGAAGUGAAGAAGCGCCUGGAAGAUGGCGGGCUCCAUGUCGUCGUCGACCUUGAUGUGCCGAGUAUCAUCCUUCUCCUCCAUUCCAUUGAAGAGCUCCACCUUGAACACCGGCGAUCGUGCCGCGAGCAUGCAUCUGUGGGCGUGGAACAACUGGCCGCCCACGCUGAACGUCACGUCCUUGCCUUCCCCGUCCUCCAGCAUUUCGAUCAAGUGGCCGUGCAGGUUCGACCGGGGCACCACGACGGCGCUUCGUUCCUCCGUGCGGGGCGUGAUGACGGUCAAGACGCACCUGAUCGUGAAGCGGUCAUCGUUGGUAUGCUUCUUGGAGAAGAACCUGGUGUAGCCAUAGUAGCAACCCGGCAACACAAAGAUAUGUCUUAAGGCGCUUCUUUGUAUGCUUGUGUUCCCGUUUUUAUCCAGUAAACUCAAAGUGUAUUUGGCUCUCACGCCCGGCGGACAUGGUUCUCCUGUGCAUAGACACAAGUAGGCCGAGGUGUAGAAAGCAUCGUCCUCGGUUUGUCCGUCGGGGUAGAACCUGAUACACCAUUCGUAACCGCCGGCGUUGAACCUUCUCGAGCAAAUGUACUCGCCGGGACGAAAGCCGUCGAGCAGCGAGUAACUGGUGAUCUCGAAGUUGUGUGCCACGGUGACGGUGUCCGCCAGCGAUCUCGACGACGUCGUCUCCGACGGGUGCUCGUCGUCGUCGUGAUUAGCCGACGAGGCCGAGCUGCUAGACAUUUUUGUCGACUCAAGCGCGACGCCUCACGAACUCAGGGUCGUUGGCCUCGUAUAUCGUAUGUGUGAGACUUGGUCGUUGUUCUUUAUACACACACGUCGGUUGUGCCCAAAGUAAUAAGGAAUCCGAUAGCUGCUGGCAUACCGAACUCGAAUCGGAACAGAGCGGCAGAAGAACACGGACGCUUUUUGUUGUCCGUUGACGGAGACGGGCGCUGUGUCUGAGUGGGGAGACCCACACGGGCCUUCACAUGGGUCGGGCCCAGUGGCAAAACCUCUGUUUUUCGUUUCCUUUUCUCUGUUUAUAAAACUUUAUUUAUAAUGUGUUUUGGUUAAAACAGGCUAAUAUAUGUUGUGGUGGACCUUAUAUGAGGUGACAUGGGACGUGUGCAUGCUGAGACAAAUAGAAGCAAUGAGAACUAAUAAGAGCAUCUCCAACAGCCGCGCUUCGCGCCGCGCCCAAAAAACAUAUUUGCCGCGCGUCCAUCGCCUGGUUUGGCGCGUCGCGCAGCGCUGGCCCCAGCAGCGCGCAAAUAUAUAGCAUUUGGACACAAAAUAAGUUUGAAACAUUCAUCAAAAUGCAAUGAACAUGUGAAAUUUAACACAAACAAGUUGAUGAAUAAAAGUCAUGCCCACAAGUUCAUCCAACCAAGUUCAAAAUGCAAACCAAGUUCAAAAUACAAGUUCAUCCAACAAAGUUCAAGACAUAUACACAUCAAUCAUCUUCCUCGCCUUCUUCCUCUUCUUCCGAAGAUGAUUCUUCCGCCUUCGAAGAUGAAUCUUCCUCCCUAACCUCAUCACGCACCGCAUCACGUGUAGCUCCGACGGUCUUGGCAAGAUUUUCAACGACAUCUUCAUGGGUAUGUGUGUGAGGCACAUCGAAAGACAUUCCACCCAUGACCGGAGGUGCACCCAUGCCUAUCGCCCAACAUAUAGUCGUGGACCCAAGCAACAACUCAACCGAUCAAAAACACAGUCGCGCAUACCUAAUCGCCAUGAGGGUUUCCCUAAGCCCCAAUACAUAGUCGCUUGUCGCUCCGCAAACCAACUAAACGAGGGUGGGGGAAACCAAGCCGCCUACGGCCAUCAGCUACACCCUACCGCCCAACAUAUAUUCGUCAGACCAAAGCAACAACUCGACCAAUCAAACACACAAAGUUGCCCACACCUAAUGCCUCGACGGGCUCGUCUAAACCAAAAUACAUUGAUGCGCCCGCCGCCCCACAGACCAACUAACCGGGGAGGGGGGGGGGGGAGUGAACAAAGUCGCCUAUGGCUAUCGAAUGCACGGAGUCGCCCACCGACUAGCAUAUAGUUACUGGACCCAAGGAACAACUCGACCAAUCCGACACACAAAGUCGCCCACACCAAAUCCCAGGAUGGGGUCCCCUAAGCCCCAAUACAUAGUCGCCCCGCCACUUCGCAAACCAACUAGCUGACGAGUUAGCAAACAGGAGAGCGAGGCAUUUUCAACUUUUACAAGAGUAUUAUUUUGAGCAACUUCUGUUUAAAUUUUUAUAUGGAACUUUUCUUUUUUCAGUUCGUCACUUUUUCAGUUCAUCACUUCUCAUCAAGGAUAUAUGCAUAAGGGUAUUUUUUUCAACAACUCUUCCCAGUUCUAUUUCCCCUGAGCAACUGCACUACUUUUCUUAGGUUUUCUGCAGAUUUUUUGUAACCAACUACUAUGCUUUUAUCCUUGCAGAGGCAGGGUUCAAGACAAUAAACAAUACAAAACAAGAACUCAGAAACUUCUCUAGCAUUCAAGUUCAACGGGGGACCAAGAACAGACAGAAAUAUUGCAAAGAUCAAAAUUCAGUUGCAAACACGUGGGGCUACAGAAGAAUUUUUGCAAAUUGAAGUAUAUCGCAUAGGAAGUACAGAGGGAGAGUUCCAAAACUCCAAAUUGAAUGUGUGAAACUAGAUGAUGCUCUUUUCUUUUUGCCAAAAUAGGGUCCUUAUCUGGCCUGAUGUAUUUAUGGGGAGAAUGGUUUAAUGCAUGGUAAUUUAUUGCAUAAUAUUUUUCAUAGUUUUGCCUGAUCCAAAACAUUGUUGCGGGCAAAUUCGUGUUGCUGGCCUGAAUUUUUUGUGUUUUGCUCUGCAGUAGUUCCCUGUUGCCUAGGCCAUAGCGUGCAGCAGCGGCGACUGUUAGAAAUAGUGAGGGGAGGGGGAUGAAGAGUUGCAAGGAUCUGUGCGGGUGGUGCUGUGUGUUUUUUUGGGCAGGACGUGGUAAACUGGUAAUCAUGGAGGGAAUGAAACUUCCUAUUUUUUGGGAAGGGGGACUGCACGUGAGGCAGUUUUCUAAAAUGGGGUGGCCGCUAGAUCCUGCUGCACAGCAAGCGCCCUAUGUAGGAAGGUGUUUGUUUCCAGGGACUUUUUGGUGUAGGGACUAAAAAAAGUCUUAAAAAAGACUUUUAAGUUGGGACUAAAAAAAAGUCCCGGGACUUCUCAAACAAAUAGGGUCGUAACGGCGUCUUUUUUUUAGACCCUAGGACUAAAAAAAAAUCUAGUCCCUUAAAAAGAAACAUCACCUAAGGCUGCUCAUAAUGGGGAGUAACUAGGAGUAGUAACAUAAUGUUGUUACUACUCUAUGUUACUACCUCCAUAGUGGGGAGUAACAUACAUGUGGUGUCAUGCAAACUAGCAUUUAUUAGGUUAUAGACACAUAAUGCAUUGAAAUAUGUGAUGUGAUGGUAACUAGCUAUGUUACUACCACCAUCUCUCUCCGCAUUAAUUACUUGCCACGUCAGAUUUUUUACCUACGUGACGUUGAUGUUACUACUUAGGGCAUCUUCAAUGGUUGUAAGAUAGUUGUUGGUAAUUUUGACACAUAGGAUUUUUGAUGAUGUGUCAUUGCAAUAAAUGAGGAAAGAGAACAAGGUUGUAUGUAAAUUAACCAACACCCUUGCACAAGCUCCAAUGUAGAAUGAGAGAGCACCUUAUUUAUUACCUCACAUCUUAUUGGGCAAACUAGAUACAACCCAUUGGAGUAGUUGUAUGUUAAGGUGUUGGCUGAUGACAUGACAUAUUUUACCAACAAGCUAACCAACAAACUGUUGGAGAUGCCCUUAGUUACUUCCCACUAUGGCUAGUCUAAGUGGUUCUAUGGCCUCCACAUUACCACAUAGGGAAACGUCUCAUAGCAUCUGUAGGAGGUGUCUUCACGCGGUGCCAUGUUUGCAAUGAGUGUCCCCUUACCCCGAUGGCCAACACGCACCACCUCAUUGCUCGUCGGUGUCCGUCCAAAAGACGGCAUGCUGUGCCUAUAAUACGAAAGCCCUUCACAUGCCAGAACGUACUCACCGAAUACAAAGUGCCACCAGGGGAUAUCUUGCCCGAAGUUGAAGCGCACGCUCCACCGUUGCCCUUCCUCCAGAACCCAUACAUUAGGGCAGGUGAUAAAUGCGAGCCUUCCAUGCACCUUCGUCAGAGCUUGUUCGGUUAAUCCCCACCACAAAGGGAUUGAAGGGGUUUGAGGUGGAUUUUGGCUUGCUGGGGAUUUAAUCCCUUUCAAUCCCCUUCAAACCCCUUGAAAUCCUGUGGAACCGAACAAGGCCUCAGGCGGUAGUGAUCACUCCGGACUGGCAGGGUAUGGUGGUGGAGACGACGCGUUCGUCCUUGAGGUCGAACGACAUGAUCUUUGCGCCGCCACCUCCGGUGACCCUAACCCAGUAUGUCAUGUCGACGACGCUUACGAUACCGGCGGCAGGCCUGGUAAUCGCGUCGUCGGGCUCGACGGGCACCUCCCGCCAUGCAGCCUCCCCAACUGAAAGACCUAGAAAGACUCUACCCUCUAAAUCUAGUGUAUUUCCUUUUUUUAAGGGAAAUGUAGUAUAUUUCUUGGUGGCAUCAUAUGCGUGCAGUUUAAUUCAGAGUACUAGCGCCUCCUUUAUCUAUUUAGGCCCUGUUUGAAACCUAUUAUAUAAUUCAUUUUUUAUAAUCUGUCAUGUCUCCAAACAAGACAGAUUAUGGUGUAGAUUAUAAAAUUAGAUGGAUAAAUUAUUAAAAACUCACAAUCUACUCUACCCCAGCUAAAAUCAGAUUAUGAAUUGCUAAUGACCCAUUACCCUUGUAAAGUUGGAGAUAAUUACAUUCCUGUCACCGCCACCCUCCUCUUUCUUAAAAAAAGGGCAGACAGAUCAUUAUGCAAUGUAAAAUCUGGAUUACAGUUUAUAUAAUCUGGCCUCCAAACAUGCCCACCUAGAUUAUUUUUAUUAUAAUCUAUUGUGGUUCCAAACAGGGCCUUAUUUUGAUGCAAUAUUUAUCUGCCCGUUCCGUUCCCAGACCCCACCUUGUGUGGAAUCUUCUAUGCAUUGGGUCUGUCAUUUUUAAUUAUCUGUCCAUUCCAAAUUAGGGGACUAACAAUAAAUGUAUGAUCUAUGAACACCUCCUUGAUAUCAAUUUAUCAUUGUAUCUCCAACCUGGCUAUUUUAGCAAUUCUUGUAUUUAUGUUAUCAAUACAUUCCUCCAGUAUUUCAAUGACCCAUGGAGCAAAGAUAACUAGAAGAACAAUAAUCGAAGCAGACCACAGUUAGAGGAAUACCAUGAAGAAAGAGUUAUUCUCAAAUUGGAGAGUGAUGAGAUUUCGACAAUUAUAUGGCAACUCUGUAUACAAAAAUGCCCAGGCAGAAGAUCUGAUACUAUAUGCUGCAAACAGCGCAGCAACCUAAAAUUAUAUCUGGCUGCCCAAAACAAUGUGAUAUAACUAACAGAAGUAAAACUACAGUAUAGUCAUCAAAGGAAGUCAAUCUUCAAUCAACCAAGCAAUGCACCGAGUACCUCUUCAAGGCCAAAGCUACAGUUCUAACUUCUGGCUGCCCAACUGGCUGAGCAUGAUCGCCAUGUCCAUACCCUGAGUCAUCGUCGCCAUAGCCAAUUCAUACGGGCAUUUCUUGGAGAAGCCGACCUUGCCAGCCUUCUUCACUUUCCUCAUGCAGUUUUUGAACUUCUCAUGGCAUUUGAUACUCAUCAGGCCUGAUAAAUUUGCAUUUAUGCAAAGAAAAAGAACCAUGAGACUGCGGAUUCAGAGUACAGAUCUUCAGAUAAACAGCUUGAGUGCAAACUUUCUUUCGCAUCACAAGCAUCAUAUUUCCAUUGUGUUUCAUGCAUGCAUGUUACAGAGAAACUGGUUAUCCAUGGUGCAAGAAAAAGAAAGCAACAUAAUUAUAGAUUUAUAUGAAUGUGAGGAAUGCACCGAUUGAUCUGGCGGGUGUCAUCUUUCACCUGAAGGUAAAAAGAGGUGCCAUCUGUACAAUACUAUGACACAUGUAAUUUAACAGGGAACUGCAAAGCCGUGAAGACACAGCCACAGAUCAGCAAAUACUCCGUAUAAAAUAAAAUGAUUGACUAAAAACUGUGACUUGUCACUUGUCCCAAUGCCAUAUAAUUAUAGGAAUGUGGAGAUGGCAUUAAUCGAUAUGGCGGGUGCUGUCCGUCGUUUGGAGGUAAAGUAGUGUGACCCAUGGCAACCUGGUGCAAUGUUGAACAUCCACUGGGUGUGGAUGCUACAGAGCCGUGCAGUUUACCUAAACCACACACAAUUUUUCACUGAGCGACAGAUGGGCGAAAACAUCAGUUCAUAUAUGCAAUUGUGAACCAAACUGCCGCUGCAUUUGCCAUUACUAAAUGACAGAGCAGAGUAGAGCCAGCAACAAUUGAAAGUCUGAAUUCUGAAACUGUGUAGCCAUUGCUCAUCUUAUCAACUGUCAGUACCAUUCGAAUUCACAUGUCCAAACAAUACAUUACAGCGUAUCGUUGUUCAUGGCGGCCAGGGUUUGUGCAAUCCAGAUGCCAUUGUUUCUUUCUGAAGCAGGAUGAUGUAUGUAUGUAUGCAUAGUAGUACCUUUCUUGUCGACGCAGUGGUCGUGGUCGCGGCAGCAGGCGUCGAGGUCGUCGCAGGGCUCUUCCCCCUCGCACCCGCUCCACCCCACGCCGCAGAACUUGCCGUACCGGAUCCCCACCGCUGCCACCCAUCCAAUCCCAUCCAUGGUCAGAGCAUCCUCAGAUCAGANNNNNNNNNNNNNNNNNNNNNNNNNNNNNNNNNNNNNNNNNNNNNNNNNNNNNNNNNNNNNNNNNNNNNNNNNNNNNNNNNNNNNNNNNNNNNNNNNNNNNNNNNNNNNNNNNNNNNNNNNNNNNNNNNNNNNNNNNNNNNNNNNNNNNNNNNNNNNNNNNNNNNNNNNNNNNNNNNNNNNNNNNNNNNNNNNNNNNNNNNNNNNNNNNNNNNNNNNNNNNNNNNNNNNNNNNNNNNNNNNNNNNNNNNNNNNNNNNNNNNNNNNNNNNNNNNNNNNNNNNNNNNNNNNNNNNNNNNNNNNNNNNNNNNNNNNNNNNNNNNNNNNNNNNNNNNNNNNNNNNNNNNNNNNNNNNNNNNNNNNNNNNNNNNNNNNNNNNNNNNNNNNNNNNNNNNNNNNNNNNNNNNNNNNNNNNNNNNNNNNNNNNNNNNNNNNNNNNNNNNNNNNNNNNNNNNNNNNNNNNNNNNNNNNNNNNNNNNNNNNNNNNNNNNNNNNNNNNNNNNNNNNNNNNNNNNNNNNNNNNNNNNNNNNNNNNNNNNNNNNNNNNNNNNNNNNNNNNNNNNNNNNNNNNNNNNNNNNNNNNNNNNNNNNNNNNNNNNNNNNNNNNNNNNNNNNNNNNNNNNNNNNNNNNNNNNNNNNNNNNNNNNNNNNNNNNNNNNNNNNNNNNNNNNNNNNNNNNNNNNNGCGGAGCUAUGAGCCUUUCCGCCUUGUCCAGCUCCCCUGCCCGCCCGCACUCGACCUCUGCUUCGUCCUCGUCACCCCUGAGUUCGAGGCGCCCACCAGCAAGAUGCGAGCUGCCCUGCCCAAGAAUGUCGCCCUCGGCCACCAUGUCCGCAAUUCCAGCCAGGCCGCUGCGCUCGUCGCUGCCGUGCUGCAGGGUGACGCCGCACUCAUCGGUUCCGCAAUGUCCUCUGACUUCAUCGUCGAGCCCACCAGGGCACCGCUGAUUCCCGGCAUGGCCGCGGUGAAGGCCGCCGCUCUGGAAGCCGGAGCACUGGGAUGCACCAUCAGCGGAGCGGGCCCAACCGCUGUGGCUGUAAUCGAGGGAGAGGAGAAGGGGGAGGAGAUCGCCCAGAGGAUGGUUGAGGCCUUCCUUUCAGCGGGGAAGCUGAAAGCCACCGCCACCAUCGCACAGCUUGAUAGAGAUGGCGCCAGGGUUAUCUCCACCUCAAGUUUUGAGUAGGAAGGUACAUUGUCUUGUUUGUGUGUCUAUUACUCUGAUUGAACAUUUUUGUCCGUGAUUCGGUGCGGUAGAUGUUUGGAGGUUCUCCCAAAUUAGUCUAUUACCACUCAGUUGUUGGUCCUAAUUGUUUGUUAAAAAUUCUGAAUGAGUGAAAGUAAGAUCUGUGAAUCGAUUUAUCAUUUAAUGUGAAAUUGUAAUCAUAUUAUCCAUCCCUGACCGAGUUGCUCAACUUGUUGGACAGCAGCCUCAAAGCAACAUGGCGAUGUAUCAUUCCCUCUGUUAACAUUUUUGUUUUGUUUCAUGGAUGGUUUAAACUUUUAUGAAUCUAUAAACCUGUGCGAUUUGUUGGUUCCCCUGUGUCUACCGUAACCAUUUCAACAUAUUUAUUAGUGAUAUUUUAGAUUUCUGUUGCUAGCUGUGGUCAGUCCAAGGAGGCAAUAACUAAGGAUGCACUAGUUAGGUGAUAGGUUCUGUAUGAACCAUAAGGAUCAGGGGGUACUGGUAAGGAAGAGGGGCAGAAGGCUGGAUGUUUUCGCUGUGCUCAACCCAGGAAUGUAGUGAAAGAGUGUAAAACUGUCCUGUUUUGUCACAGUCAGAUAGGUGUAAAACUGUCCUGUUUUGUAUUCACCGUGGAAUUGGAUUUUAAGACAAAAAAUGUUGGGACAGUAGCAGGUAACUGGAGUCAAGGAAAUAAAUAAACAAUCUGCAAAAGGUGCAGAAUGUUGGAUGGUGUGGAAUGCUCAGAUACUGACAGUGGAAGUAGUGCCUCAUAGUGCUAAUAACCAGGGGCUCUCUCAGGAUAUGCAGGAUGGUCCGGACAGCUUUGCAAGAGGACUGGGGCUUAGUACACAGGUGAUUGCAGAGGUAAACAGAGGACUUGAUGAGGAGCAGGAGGCUAUAGGAUAACAACUGGUUGGAGGUGAUUUGGGGGAGGAAAUUCAAAUAGAGACCAGAUCUUACAAGCAAAAAAAAGUGGAGCUUGGAGGUGUAUUAGAAAUGUCAGCAAGGAAAAGGAUAAUAUAGUAGAUGAGAAUAGGAGGAGGACUAGCAGGAAUGUGCCAGACCAGCAUGUAAUGGAGAAAGCAAUGGACAGGGCUAAGGUGAAGAAUUUGGAAGUUCCAAUUGGUGAGUCUACUUCCUUCAAUUUUCCUACAGUUUUAAAUACUGCACAUGAAAAACUAGUAAGUGUAGCUGCUACUACAGGUGUUAAAUUAGGUGGAAAUUAAGGAAUCUGUAGAAGUUUUAAAGAAACUAGAAGAAGCUAGGCGCAAUUUGUUUGAAGCUAGUUCUGGUAAGAACAGUAAAGAUUUGUUUUGUAGUGGCUCUAAGAAAAAAAAGUCUUAAUGUAGCUAGAGGUAUGGGGGAGGCUGAUAAAGUAAAGUUUUUUAAAGAAACUACUGUAGAGGAUACCAUUUUAUCUGUAGGUGUGCAGGAAACAAAGCCAACUAGUUAUGGUGCUGAUUGGUUAAAUAAUAUUAGUGGUAGAAAUAAUUUUUCCUUGGUAUGUGUUCCAUCAGUAGGACUGAGUGGUGGUAUUAUGUUAGGAGUAGAUAGUGAUUGUUUUGAAGUAAUGGAAGCUGAAUCGGGUGAUUUUCAUGCUAGAAUGACAGUUUGAGAGGGAAGCUCUAAUAACAAAUGGAAUUUUGCUACUGUGUAUGGGGCUGCGCAUUGUAAAGACAAGGAAGCCUGUUUGAUUGAGCUAGUCCAUAUUUUUGUAAUGAGCUCCCUCUGUUAGUUGGAGGAGACUUUAAGUUGAUUAGGAAAAUUAGUGAUGGUAGUCGGGCUAGGAGAUUAAAUAAAUGGUCCAAUCUUUUGUUUUUACUAUUAUUGAGCAUUGUGAGUUUAAGGAGGUCGAGAUUGCAGGUGGUUGUUUUACUUGGUGUAAUAACCAUAGCUCUCCUUUUUUAAGAAAUACUCCCUCCGUCCCAAAAUUCUUGUCUUAGUUUUGUCUAGAAAUGAGUGUAUCUAAAUACUAAAGCGUGACUAGAUACAUUCCUAUCUAAACAAAUCUAAGACAAGAUUUUUGGGACGGAGGGAGUAGUAAUUGCAAAGAUUCAGAGGAAAAAUAGAGAAGAAUGCUGGAACAUGGAAAGGGAAACUGAUGUGUUCUGGCGAUAGAUUAUUACUCCCUCCGUUUCUAAAUAUAAGCCUUUUUAGAGAUUUUAAUACGGACUACAUACGGAUAUAUAUAGAUGUAUUUUAGUGUAGAUUCACUUAUUUUGCUCUGUAUGUAGUCCGCAUUGGAAUCUCUAAAAGGCUUAUAUUUAGUAACAGAGGGAGGAUUACUUAGAUCUUGUGUUAGUAAUCUGCCUUUAUAUAUUUUAUCUAUGUAUUAUCAAGAUGAGAAUGUUAAGAAGUAUCAUCUAGUCAAUUGGCAAGAGAUUUGUCAACCUAUAAAGCAAGGGGGGCUAGGGGUGUUAGACUUAUCUGUAAUGAAUACAUAUCUGCUUAGUAGAUAUCUGUGGAAGCUCGAAAAUGAGGAGGGUUUAUGGCAGGAGUUAAUUAGGAGUAAAUACCUUAGUUUCUGCAUUCACUAAAGUUCUAUUCUUCCGAUUUUUUCAGCCAGCUGAAUGUUGUCGCUCUUGCUGUUUUGGUUUGUGCACCUUGAUAUUUCCUUGUGUACCUCUCUAAGACAUGGUUGCUGAUUUCUUAUGUUAAUUUCUUCUGUAGUACUUCCUCUGCCUAGGUUUUUCAUUUGAAAAAUGCCGAGUCUGAGGCCUGAUGAUUAGCCUAAGAACGGAGAUCUGAAUCCAUUUUCCUGUUGCAGCCUGCUUGGCCGCUGUGCUUGAUUGAUGCCUCCCCUUCCUUGGUUUCUUGGCUGGGUUUCUCUCAGGAGUAAAUUACAAAAACUCCAACAUGCAUUCGGGCACAGACACACACUCAUGUACACAGAGCAGGCUAAAUGGGAUUCAGGAAGGGAUAUGUAGAAGCAAAUGCUCUGAAGGAUUUGGCAGAUCGAAUGAUUGCCCCCACAAGAUUCAUGUUAUGCUUGUUUAAGGAGCAUUUUAUUUUAGUUUGAGGCUGCCCGAUUUCCUUCCAUGGUUUAUUGCCCGGUGUUUUGCUGUAGAAAUCAUCAUGGAAAGAUUUGUUGAGUUCUGAACAGUCUGUCAAUUAGAGGUGGUUGUCAUCUUUGGACAUUAAGGUUAGCAAAUACGAGGAUACCUAAUAAUAUCUAUGUAGUAUUCGUCUAUAUCUGAUAAGGAACAUCGUGUGCUUGGCCAGCCUGAUGAUUAACCUUUGCACAAAUAAUGGAGAACUGAAUACUUUCUCAACUCCGUUGAAGCUCGCUUGGCUUUGCCUGCUGUGGUGGAUUGUACUCCCUCAUGUAAAUACUUUAAAACAAUUUUCUCUUAGGAAUAAAUGGGAUCAUGCAUGCAUUUACAUCUCAGAUCUUGCACCAGCCUUGCUAGGUGGGCUCCGGUGAGAGUGUCUGAAGAUAUAAAAAGUAUGAAGGCUUUGGCAAAUGAAGAGAAUGCCCAGUUCUGUUAAAAUCCUAGUUGAUGGGGUUUUGGAUUAUCAAUUUAUAUCAAAUGCACAACUUUUUGGAAAUAGUUGCUAUUUUCUUGUGACAUGUUGAGAUUUGCAGUUGAUUAUAUUGGCCUUGUCAUUGGAGCAUUCUGAUCAAGCUGCCUGAUGAUUUCCAAUUGUGUUCACUAAGAACUGGAGAUUUGAAUGCACUUCCCUGUGGAAGUCUGCAUGGCCAAUCUUGUGGAGUGGCUCUCCUAUUAGCUUGCCAGUGUUUCCUUGUAUACUGAGAGACUUUUGAUGUUGAGCAGCUUGACUUAACUCUUGAUUGACCUGGAAUUAGCAAGAUCAGAUAGGUGACUUGUGAUGGUUUGGCAUGGUCUAGUCAAAACAACAGUUUUCCAUCAGUUCUGCUGCCUUUUUGACCACAUCUCUCCAUUGAGGUCCUGUCACUUGUUUAAUCUGUUCUGGUGUGAAGUUGGAUGUAUUUUUUCAAUCAGAAAGUGUCUUAAUGUUGACAUGUUUUAAUCAGAGAAAAUAUCAUGCCUUGCUCAUUUGACCAUCAAAUGAUCAUAAAUGUGAUCUUUUUUCUUUUUGUAGGAACAGUAGCGCACAAGCAACACAAAAGCAAUGGUAUUUGAAACCAUUUAAUUAUAUUUGCCUAGUCAUGGUUUUCAUGUCCAAGCUGGAGUUAUGUUCUUAUUUUAACCUUUUCUUCUAAACCCUUUGCGCAGAAUGAUAUGGAAUAGCAGAGAUGCUGUCGUCAAGAUCAGAGGCACAUGGACUUGAUGUGCUUGAUGGUGAUGCUGUUGGGGAGAGGAGAAACUGGAUCUUGCGGCGCCAGGGCUCGUCCUCGACGAGCACCCCGUGGCGGGCCUCCUGGACGAUGGACUCCUUGGACAGGGCGAGGUCCAUGUCGUCCUAGUGGAAGAGUAGGUCGUUCUUUUGUUCAUUCUCCAGCUUUGAAUGUUGAAUCACGCCAAAACUACUGAUAUUCUAUUGUACCAGAGAACUAUCAUUUUGUUCAUUUUAUGGCAUAGAAAGUAUUGUCAAAUUAUCAUUUUGUUCUUAAUUGCAUGAGUGAUAAUUUUGUUACAGAUGAGAUGCAGCUUCUGAAUUUAACUGUAUGCAUGCAACAGUCGAUGUGACAAUUGUGCAAUUCGUACUGAGCAUUUAUGAACAGCAAAAGUGUUCAGUGUGUUGAUAGUAUUAGAGCAUAUCUCUAGCAAUCCCGCAACCGGCUGGCCCGCAAAAAACGUGUAAGGGUUUCCGCAAAACUUUGUUACGGACCGUGAAUGCUUCGUGCCGGAGGACUCGUGACAUCGUAAAUUUUGCAUAGCAUCAAAUAAAUUAGGCAUUUCAAUAAUAUAAAUUCAACUUACAAAUAUAUAAAUGGUCCAAAAAGCGAUUCACAAUACAAUAAUAAUUUUCAAUACAACAAAUGUUCAAAUUCAAAUAAUUAUUACAACACCAAAUUGUCUAAAUCAUACACGAAUGAAAAUGAAUAGAAAUGGGAUCUGUCGCUCCCCAUAGAGUUGCCACCAGUGCUCGAUAAGAUCAUAUUGGAGUUAGUGGUGCGAAUCACGGUUCUCAAUCUUCCGGUAGGUCUUAGGAAAAGCAUUGAUUUCAUCUUUCUAGCAUGCCCGACCAUCCUUUUAAUUCGUUCAUCGCCAUAAGCUCCUUUGUUUCUUCUUCGUUUGGAGCUCGAAGGUACUCCGGGCCAAAGACCAGGAUCAUUGCCUUCACAAAGAUACAAACACAUUUGAUGGUGGCAUCUUCACCAAUGCAAAGAGAUUCAUCCGUGUAGUCGGCCGGAACGCCAUAUGCAAUCACUCUCAUCGCCGUCGAUAUUUAUUGAUAUGCACUAAAGGCAAUCAAACUGGCAACAUUCUUACACUGAGUGAAGAAACGACAAUUUUUCUUGCAAGCCUCGAUGACAUGGACAAAAAGUGACCUACACAUUUGAUAUCGCCUACGAAAGAGGUGAGCCGGAUAUGUGAGUACCUCGGCGAAGUAGCUCUUCAUGAGCACCUUGUUGCCGAGAGCUCGGUUGCGGGGAAUGCAUUACCGACCGACUGUCAAUCCAUGCCGCUAUUUCUUCGGCCCCACCUCAAAUUCGUCGACGAGAUGAAAUAACACUAGGUUGUCAUCAUCAUUGUCGAGGAUCAAAUCUUCUAUUUCCUAAUCAUCGGACGAAGAUGACGAGGACGGAUUCCAAUCUACCUACAAAGCGAACACAAAACGCCAUGAAUUUCAUCGGAACCUACUCCGGCCAAAUUUAGCACGAACCGGUGGGUGUUGGACCUACCUCGCCCGAAGCAAAGCCGCGUCGCACCACCCCUUUCUUCUCCCCGCCGGUCGAAUCGAAGUUGUGUCGCACCGCCCCUUUCUUCUUCGGGGUGCCUGAAGCGAAGCCAAGCAGUGCCGCCCUUUUCUUCUCCCCUCCGGUCGAAGCUGCGGUGCGUUGCCCUCUUCCCCCAACAUGCGCCGGAACCAACCGGAUACGCAUACUACGAGCCCGCGCGCCGAGCUCCCAGGUCGAUCCAUGGCGCGGACGGCGGACACGAGCCGCAAACGUAAAUGGUCACCACUGUUAUCGAAACUAAGUGGAAUGGAUGUGGCGUUGGGUGGCGGAGCUUUCGGGCAGCGCAGGGCUACCGGAGGUAGCAACAGGGGGCUGGGAUGUGUGGCGGCGACGACGACGGGGAGUGGAGGUAGGAAAUGAAGCCGAUGGAAGUGAGUUCGCACCAAUGAAAAGGGAAACCUACAAAAGCGAGCGAAAUCCCGAAGAUACGAAGGAAUUGGACUCGUGAAUUCGGAAUCCAAAAAAAUUAUCAAAAUGGCUGGAUUUAGAAUAUGUGCUCGAAUUGGGUUUACAACUGCUGGCUAUAAGCCAUCUUAUAGCUAGCUUGUGCAAUAGUUAGCUGUAAAAGAGUACUACUUUUAUCAUAUAUAGCCCAUCUUUCAUUCUCACAAAACACCUAGGAGCACGUGCUAGAGCUAGCUCUUCAUGAAGAGCCCGCUUCCAUUCUCUUUCCUCUUCUCUCUCAUCCAACUCAGCAAAAAUAUAAUAUUUUAAUCCUUACAGCCUGCUGACUUACCUUAUUAUACUUGCUCUUAGGCUUAAGUCCCUUGUGUGUAGUGCUUAGUGCACGUGCUCAUUUGGAGCUUCCUCAUGUUUUCCUUUUCUGUGGUCGUGUUUUAUUUGAUCCUCUUUCUCUUCUUUUCAGAAAAGGUAACUGAUUCUUUGUAGUCGUCUGACCUUGUACAAACCGUGGGUUGUGCAACCGCUUGAGUGAUGGCUGGCUGAGGCUAGCAGGGACGUUUGUGCUCUAGAUCAUGGGUGGCAAAAUCGAUAAAAUUGAUCCCUAGACAAAACAAAUUCAAACCAUGUUUAAGAUAAAUUCAUUCAGCUGAUCCUUUUGUGUGGCGCCCGACAGUCGGGCGUCACACUACACUAUGUAACGCUUAGCAUAUGAGCGUUACAUUUUUGGCAAACGUGGCAUCCGGGACCACACUCCUGGUUGUGUGGCGCCUAAGAGAAAUGAGCCACACUACAUUGUGUGGCGCCUGACUGAAAGGAGUCACACUAUCUUAUAUUAAAACUGAUGUAACUUUUAAUCCGUACGUCCGAUGAAAACAUGCCUUAUAUGAAUAUUGUGUAAUUUUUUGUGUUCUACGCAAUGGCGACAUUUUCAGCUAUAUUAGGAUAACUUUUUAAUGAAAAAUCUGUUAUAAAAAUACAUCAUAGUAUAACUAACCAUAUUUGUUAAGACUUAAAUUUGGCAUGAUGAUAGCCAUUGGCCUAUAACUCUUAUGUAUUUGAAUCCUACAUGAGUUUUGCACUACAUAAUGUGUACGUUCACGUCAUGCUUAUGCUUUCCAUGUUAGUCAUCUUAAACAUGUUCAUGUCUUGCAUCUAAGUGACUAACAUGAUAUAAAUGAAAUUCCAUUACAGAAAGCUACAUUUUAUAACAUCCAUAGUAAAUCUAGUGAAGGAAGACCCAAUAUGUCUUGAGCAAGAAGAAUCACGGAGCCCAUCAAUCCACCACAUGCAACAUGUCUUGUGUUCUUGGUUUGUCCCCUUGCAUAUUGCAAUAUAUAGGAUAACACGUACCUUGCAAAAUUCAAAAGAGGCUUCUCCGAGUAAAAACCAACCGCUGGCAUAUCAUGUUGGUUAUGUGGAGCUAAAAAGUGGGUAUUAAGGCACUAACAAUAAGCAAGUAAAUGCACGAACCAACACAAGUACAAUGAAUCAAGUUUUUUAGUGGGGUAUGUGGACAUUCAUAAAUCUGAGAACUAUGUGACAUAUAAUGUGACAACUAAGUGAUAGUAAUCUGACAAGUACCGACGAAAACAAAAGUUGUUGAAACAUGUGAACGUGAGAUCUAGUUUGAAGAUCUCGUCGCGACAAAGUCAGUGAUGAAAACGGAUUUUGAUCAAACUUUGCGUAGUUUGACUCCAAACAAAUUUUACAUGCAGAGUAAAAAAGGAAAUGGAGGGAGCAUAAUACAGCAAAGCCAUAGCCGCCAUGUUUUGUCUCGUUUCCUCGAAGAAGAAACAAGCACCAUGCACUUUCAGCACAUUUCAUGUGGAAGAAAGAAAGUUUCACCACAUUUCACCUGGAAAACAGAAAGCACCAUCCACAUUUAGUAAAUCGGUAUGCUCCUAUUGCAAGCAACUUUUUGCUUGAGGAAGAACUCCACAUCUUCUCACCGGCCUGGUGGCAAGUCACUUCAUCAGUUGACCUGUUCGCCUUGCCUACAUUUCAUUAAUCAUGAUUUUAUAAUUUCAACAAGCACCAGGGAAGGGGAAUCACAUCUCUUUGCCUUACUGCAAUGUAGUGCCCCAUAUGUAACCUUCCCUAUUUUGGAACCUAUUGCAUGUGGGUCCACCUUGUCAGAGAUAUGAUGAUGUCACUUGUGUCUAUGAUUUCCUGUGUCACCUUGUGUCCCUUGCAUAUCUUUCAUGCAUGCAUAGCAUAACAUAUCAUAACAUCUCCUUGUCCUUGUGAUUUCAUGUGUCUCUUAUUUUUAGUUUCCCUUGCGUGCAUGCAAACCAUAAUGCUUCAUGUCAUGUCUUGUGUGCACAUAUCUUGCUAGGUGUGAUUGUGUGAUCUCGUGAUUUCAUGUGUUGAUAUUGCACAUAUGAAUUUUGUGGUGUGAAUUAGUGGAGUGUGGUGCUUGGCUUGUUUUUCAAACCCCUUGUUGGUUUCAAACCUUUCUCUCUUUAAUUCUCAAGUUCAAAACCUGUUUGCUCCUAUGCUGCUUUAUAAAUGUUACACCUUUAGCCCAUUUUAUUUGGAGUGUGGGCAUGUAGGAGAGGGGUUUUUAAAACCUCUUGUGCUAGAGGUUUUUCUUUAUUUCAGAUUUAAUUAAAUCUGUUUGGCAAUUAUUUUAGUUGCCCAAUUAGCCUUUUUGGUAUUUUAUUCAUUUGGGGCAUAAUUCCCUUAUGCCCAGGGAUAUUUUACCUCUUUUGUUUAUGCCUUAGUUUUUCCUAGAAAUAUCUGUGGCUCUCAUGUUGUUUGGAUAUUAGAGAGGGCCAGGUUUUCCCUCUUUCUAUCAAACCUUCGCAGCAGCAGCCCAUCUCCUUCCAGGCCCAAUACCCCUUCGCUCAACAUCAGCAGCCCAGGAGGCGAUCGUCUCCUUCCUCCCGGCGUCACGUCUGUACGAACGCAGCUCCACCUCCCGAUCGCCUCCCCUUGAUCCUGUGGCUCCAACGCCUCCCCCGAGGUAAUAUAAGGUGGAGGGAACCUUCCUCCUCCCCUAGGGUUCCCUCUCCUUCCCCCAGCGCCGCCGCCACCUCCCUCCUUUUCUCCUCCCUCUCCCUGGCAAGUCCUCUGUAGAGUAGGAGCAGAGAGAGAGAGGGUUCGACCGCCGCGUCUACCCCGUCUACUCCGUUGAGCAGCGCCGGCGGCCAUGUCCAGGGGCUCGGGGAGACUCCCCGCGACCCAUUCCCACGAGCGUUGAGGACGAGGGGCAACCACAGCGACGGCCAGCAGCGCGUCAUCACGUCGGCCUCGGAGCACCUCGUCUUCCUCUACCCCCGUCAGCAGCAGGAACCGCCGACGUCUUCUUCCCCUGCGGCUACUUCUUCGAUCGGGUGGCCUCCUCUCCUUCCUUCCCCAAGGUGAGGAACGUCUUCCCCUUCCUUCCUUCUCCUCCCUCGGCCUAGACCCUCCAUGGCACUCCUUGUGUCUCUCUGUUCGCGGUAGCCAACAGGAGAGCAGUAGUCGUGCUCGUUGUGUGGUGCAGUAGUAGGACCAUGUGCGUGUGUGUUGUGCAGCGGAGGUUCUUCCCCCUCGUAGUGCUUCGUUGGAUGUGUAGAUGGCUCCCUUCGUUGAUAGCAGCAGCAACGAUUCUGCCCGACGUCCUCCCUGACGCCGGCGUGCAGAGCACAGGUUCAGGUGCUCGUGUAAGUUUAGCCUGCGGUACUCCUGUGUUCUAGCAGUUACCUAUCGUAGCGCAAUGGUAGAUAUGUGUGUGUGUGUGUUAUCGUCAGGUGCAGGGUUCGAAUCCCAGCAGGAGCAUCCCCCUUUUUUUGUUUCCUUUUCUGUUUCGACAGUAGGGUAGCGCGGCAUGUAGAUCCCCUGCAUCGAUCCUCCUAUAUCGAGUACCUUGACCCUAGCAGAGUGGUAGGGCUGCAGUUUGCACCUCGAGUAGGUCUGGGGUUCGACCCCAGCACCUCUCCUUUUUGCCUUACCUUUGUUUCUUUUAUUCUCUUCCUUGCUGAUUGGUAGCUAAGCAGCCCCUGGUAAUUUGUAGCAUGGUAUUUCUAUUCUUCCUUGCCGUUUUUCCUUUCCUGCCUAGUUUAGGAGUGUGUGCAUGUGAUAGACUUGGUGUAGGUUUUGUGAUGGUGUGUGUGCAUGGUGGCACACACACAAGGGGUGUUUAUGUGCAUAAGAGUGUGUGUGUAUGUAUGAUUUUGCCCCCACACACCUUGUAUAGAUGUUGGUGUAGGGUGCUUGCAAGCAUGUGCUUGUGGCUCAAGUCGUAUGCAUGUGUGUGUGUUUGCACUAGGGGUGCAUAUGUAGCUAAAAUCAUGUGUAGGAGAUCAUGUAGCUUUAUCAUGCUUAGAAGUGCCUUUUUGUUGAGUGCAUGUAUGUAUAGAGUUGCUAAAUCCUAUGGUGUGUGUAUGUUUGCCAUGUGGUGCAAGCUAUGUCUAGUAUGUGUAGGUAUGUGUGUUGAUCUAGAGCAUGAUGUUGUUGUGAAUGAUGUGUAGUAUAUGUGUGUGUGUGGAACCUCCCCACCUUUGCAAAACUAUGCACCUUCACAUGUCUAUAUGUGAGAGGGCAUGGAGUUUGUGUGUGGGGAUAGUUUGGUAGAUGUGCUUGUGAUGUUGAUGUGCAUGACACAAACAUGUGGUUCAAACCCCCAUGUCACUUUGUCAUUGUGCACAUGAACCCAACCUUUGUAGUUGUUGUCUUAGUAGGGUACUUUAUGGAGUUGCAUAUUCAGUUUUGUUGCAAGUUUGAGCCUUGAUUCCAUGGAAUAGGUGGAGCCCAAGGGCAUGAGUUUUUGUGUGAUAGUAGUAGGGGUUUUGCUUUACACCAUAGUGGUGUCAAUUAUCUCUUGGUGUUAUGUGUGUGCAAACUAUGCCUAGACAAAGUGGGCAUGUGGCUGAAAAAUUCCAGAUUAGUGAACUCUGAAAUUUCACUAAGUCUGGGAUUCUGGAAACAUUUUCUUCCCCUAUAGAUGAGGAUGUGCUGGUCAUUCUAUUGAGAACUAGCCUUAGUUCAGUGCUAAGAUUUUGAACCUGAUAUGUUUUUGAAGCUUCCUGUCAAAUUUCAAGUCAUUUGGAGUCCAGUAGGUUGUGUUUUGGUUGCUGUCAAAAAGCUUCAGAACAGAGACAGAAACUCAGGUGCAGGAAUUUUCACUAAGUCCCUGAGAUCUGAUGGUCUUGGGAAAGUUUGUGGCCUUGUAUCUUCUAGAGUUUAAUUCCUUUUGCUGUGAUUCUUGCUGGUGCUUGUAGUGUUCUUGGUGGGAAACAACCACACAUAUUAUUUGUCAUGAUUGGAGACCUGUAGCUAUGUUGCAUGUAGCUCCCAAAGAGCUAAGAUGCAGAUUAUGACAGAUUAUGUAGUUUUGUCAUUUUGGUCAAUGUGUGUGCUUAGUUGAUGUUGUGGUGUUCUUCCUUGCUCCAAUCCAUUCAUGUUUGGUUGUUACAGGUCUUGGCAACCUGGGAAUACCAGAUUUGUGCCAAUUGUGAGUGUGGUGUUGAUUCUUCCACAUAGAGCUUCAUUGCUUGUUUCGUUGAUUCUCGUUGAUCCGUAGCUCCGUUUGCAAUGUUCUUUAUAUGGUUUUGCACCGUUUUCACGAGCCGCAUCUGUUCAUGUCAUUCUCAUGCAUGUCAAAAUAGCUUAGUGUACAGUUCUGUCCAGAAACUUGCAAUAGUUUAUUUUGCUUGUGCUAGUGAUAGAAAUAGUGGUGCAUGCUCAAUUUUCAUCUCAUGCAUCAUGUGAUUGCUGCAUCUUGUGGUGCUGUUGUUCAUUGGCUGUUGUUCUUAUGUUGGGUAGCACCGGGAUCGGAGACCGAAUACGUGGAGUCAGGAGAGUACGUGCAGGACGAACCAGAACCAGUCCAAGCCGAGGAUAUCACAGGCAAGAUGA
RNAcentral lists this long non-coding RNA (40869 nucleotides) under Hordeum vulgare. Its description in RNAcentral is "long non-coding RNA (HVUL_LNC005638)". The stretch from base 30705 to 30840 matches the Rfam family "MIR1120/MIR1122 microRNA precursor family". The record is from RNAcentral. Lineage: Eukaryota; Viridiplantae; Streptophyta; Magnoliopsida; Poales; Poaceae.